AUACGGAGGGUGCAAGCGUUACUCGGAAUCACUGGGCGUAAAGCGCGCGCAGGCGGCUAUUUAAGUUGGAUGUGAAAGCCUACGGCUCAACCGUAGAACUGCAUCCAAAACUACUUAGCUAGAGUGUGGGAGAGGAAGAUGGAAUUAGUUGUGUAGGGGUAAAAUCCGUAGAGAUAACUAGGAAUACCAAAAGCGAAGGCAAUCUUCUGGAACACUACUGACGCUGAGACGCGAAAGCGUGGGGAGCAAACAGGAUUAGAAACCCUAGUAGUCC
RNAcentral lists this ribosomal RNA (274 nucleotides) under uncultured bacterium. RNAcentral describes it as "partial 16S ribosomal RNA". It matches the Rfam family "Bacterial small subunit ribosomal RNA", at positions 523 to 796 of the family's 1533-position model. The record is from RNAcentral.